GGUCGUGUGGCCUAAUGGAUAAGGCACUGGACUUCUAAUCCAGGGAUUGCGGGUUCGAGUUCCGCCAUGAUCA
Molecule: transfer RNA, 73 nt
Organism: Daphnia magna
Lineage: Eukaryota; Metazoa; Arthropoda; Branchiopoda; Diplostraca; Daphniidae
Rfam family: tRNA
About the family: Transfer RNA (tRNA) molecules are approximately 80 nucleotides in length. Their secondary structure includes four short double-helical elements and three loops (D, anti-codon, and T loops).
Source: Rfam